CAGUCGCCGCGGGAAUACGAAGGGUGCAAGCGUUACUCGGAAUUACUGGGCGUAAAGCGUGUGUAGGUGGAUGUUUAAGUCUGUCGUGAAAGCCCUGGGCUCAACCUGGGAAUUGCGAUGGAUACUGGGCGACUAGAGUGCGGUAGAGGAUAGUGGAAUUUCCGGUGUAGCAGUGAAAUGCGUAGAGAUCGGAAGGAACAUCUGUGGCGAAGGCGACUAUCUGGGCCAACACUGACACUGAGACACGAAAGCGUGGGGAGCAAACAGGAUUAGAUACCCCGGUAGUCCCUGUCUCUUAUAC
RNAcentral lists this ribosomal RNA (301 nucleotides) under uncultured bacterium. RNAcentral's name for it is "partial 16S ribosomal RNA". It matches the Rfam family "Bacterial small subunit ribosomal RNA", at positions 509 to 807 of the family's 1533-position model. The record is from RNAcentral.